GCCUCAGUAGCUCAGCUGGAUAGAGCAACGGCCUUCUAAUCCGUAGGUCGGGGGUUCGAAUCCCUCCUGGGGCG
This 74-nucleotide transfer RNA is filed under the name Auritidibacter ignavus. Its description in RNAcentral is "tRNA-Arg". It matches the Rfam family "tRNA". Rfam says of the family: Transfer RNA (tRNA) molecules are approximately 80 nucleotides in length. The record is from RNAcentral. RNAcentral also lists the same sequence under 4 other names. Lineage: Bacteria; Bacillati; Actinomycetota; Actinomycetes; Micrococcales; Micrococcaceae.